This 372-nucleotide ribosomal RNA is filed under the name uncultured organism. Its description in RNAcentral is "bacterial SSU rRNA". It matches the Rfam family "Bacterial small subunit ribosomal RNA", at positions 526 to 896 of the family's 1533-position model. The record is from RNAcentral.
CGUAGGGGGCAAGCGUUGUCCGGAUUUACUGGGCGUAAAGAGCGUAUAGGCGGCCGCACAGGUCCGUUGUGAAAACUGGAGGCUUAACCUCCAGACGUCGACGGAAACCGUGCGGCUAGAGUCCGGAAGAGGAGAGUGGAAUUCCUGGUGUAGCGGUGAAAUGCGCAGAUAUCAGGAAGAACACCAAUGGCGAAGGCAGCUCUCUGGGAUGGUACUGACGCUGAGACGCGAAAGCGUGGGGAGCGAACAGGAUUAGAUACCCUGGUAGUCCACGCCGUAAACGAUGGGUGCUAGGUGUGGGAGGUGUCGACUCCUUCCGUGCCGUAGCUAACGCAUUAAGCACCCCGCCUGGGGAGUACGGCCGCAAGGCUA